GGACUGCGGAAGGAUCAUUACCGUGUGUAGGGUUCCUAGCGAGCCCAACCUCCCACCCGUGUUUACUGUACCUUAGUUGCUUCGGCGGGCCCGCCAUUCAUGGCCGCCGGGGGCUCUCAGCCCCGGGCCCGCGCCCGCCGGAGACACCACGAACUCUGUCUGAUCUAGUGAAGUCUGAGUUGAUUGUAUCGCAAUCAAUUAAAACUUUCAACAAUGGAUCUCUUGGUUCCGGCAUCGAUGAAGAACGCAGCGAAAUGCGAUAACUAGUGUGAAUUGCAGAAUUCCGUGAAUCAUCGAGUCUUUGAACGCACAUUGCGCCCCCUGGUAUUCCGGGGGGCAUGCCUGUCCUAGCGUCAUUGCUGCCCAUCAAGCACGGCUUGUGUGUUGGGUCGUCGUCCCCUCUCCGGGGGGGACGGGCCCCAAAGGCAGCGGCGGCACCGCGUCCGAUCCUCGAGCGUAUGGGGCUUUGUCACCCGCUCUGUAGGCCCCGCCGGCGCUUGCCGAACGCAAAUCAAUCUUUAUCCAGGUUGACCUCGGAUCAGGUAGGGAUACCCGCUGAACUUAAGCAUAUCAAUAAGCGGAGGAAGAUCGUUACCGAGUGUAGGGUUCCUAGCG
Molecule: ribosomal RNA, 615 nt
Filed under: Aspergillus oryzae
Lineage: Eukaryota; Fungi; Ascomycota; Eurotiomycetes; Eurotiales; Aspergillaceae
Description: eukaryotic LSU rRNA
Rfam family: 5.8S ribosomal RNA (bases 203-356)
Source: RNAcentral